Molecule: ribosomal RNA, 758 nt
Filed under: uncultured bacterium
Lineage: Bacteria
Description: bacterial SSU rRNA
Rfam family: Bacterial small subunit ribosomal RNA
Source: RNAcentral
AGAGUUUGAUCAUGGCUCAGAAUCAACGCUGGCGGGGCCUUUAACACAUGCAAGUCGCACGAGAAAGGAGAGCAAUCCCUGAGUAAAGUGCGCGUACGGGUGAGUAACACGUGGAUCAUCUACCUUUUAGUGUGGAAUACUCCCCGGGAAACUGGGGACAAUACCGCAUAAGCUCGUGAGAGGAAAGCAGCAAUGCGCUGAAAGAGGAGUCCGCGGCUGAUUAGCUAGUUGGUGAGGUAACGGCCCACCAAGGCGAAGAUCGGUAGCCGGCCUGAGAGGGCACACGGCCACACUGGCACUAAAAUACGGGCCAGACUCCUACGGGAGGCAGCAGUGGGGAAUCUUGCACAAUGGAGGAAACUCUGAUGCAGCGACGCCGCGUGAACGAUGAAGCCCUUCGGGGUGUAAAGUUCUUUCGACGGGAACGAUAAUGGCGGUACCCGAAGAAGAAGCUGCGGCUAACUACGUGCCAGCAGCCGCGGUAAUACGUGGGCAGCAAGCGUUGUUCGGAAUUACUGGGCGUAAAGAGUGCGUAGGCGGUGCUCUAAGUCUGUUGUGAAAUCUCCCGGCUUAACUGGGAGGGUGCAGCGGAAACUGGAGUGCUUGAGGGUGGGAGAGGUAAGCGGAAUUCCUGGUGUAGCGGUGAAAUGCGUAGAUAUCAGGAGGAACACCUGUGGUGUAGACAGCUUACUGGACCACUUCUGACGCUGAGGCACGAAAGCGUGGGUAGCAUACAGGAUUAGAUACCCCGGUAGUCC